AGGCAAGCGCAAAGUACAUCGGGAAAGGAACGCACAAUAUGAUGGCGGAUUGAUCUUACUCUGAAUAUUUGUUUGUACGACUGUGCCAAGAAUUAAUCAUAAUGUGCGGACGAGCAGGUUCAGAUUGAACCGGGGUGAACGUGGACGUUGAAUGUUUAAGGUUCGUAGUAAAAGCGAGCAAAGCUCAACGCGCCCAUCAGGCCGAUUAAAGCCUCUCCCUGUCCCCGCGCCUUAAAGCCCUCGCGUGGCUGACGAGCCGGGCCGGGCGCUGGGCCAGGCCGCGCGCUACGCCAGACCGUGUUGCUCUGGCAUCUCUCACGGCCACCUAUACCGACUCGGAGGGCGAGGACGGGGUGGAAGACGAGCGCCUGCAGGAGGAGAAUUCGAACACUCCCGCUAAGGGGGCCGCCCCGCAUAAUGCCCAAGUCGGU
RNAcentral lists this unclassified non-coding RNA (431 nucleotides) under Monomorium pharaonis (pharaoh ant). Its description in RNAcentral is "uncharacterized LOC105829754, transcript variant X1". The record is from RNAcentral. Lineage: Eukaryota; Metazoa; Arthropoda; Insecta; Hymenoptera; Formicidae.